CCCUAAAAUCUCAAGAAUCUUGCAAAUUGAAGGAUUAAUCCAAGUAAAAAUCAAGAAUUGAGCCUAGAAUCAUAAUCCUCAUCACAAGAGGAUUGUAAGGACAAGAUACCGGGACGUCGAGCGGACAAACCGGUGGUGAUUCUCGUUUGAAGGGCGUGCGCCAAGGUAAUUAGGUGGUCACAUGGAUGGCGAUCAAGCGACUUGAUGAUGAACCGAACACUCCACUUCGAAGCUUCCGCUAUGUUUUGAACUUGUUAAUUUGUUGUUCUUUUGUUGUAAACAAUUUCUUAAACGACUUAAUUUCGUUCUACCUUAGUCUUAGUAGACUAAGGUGUGUAAUAUUUUGAAACUUAUGUUAAUCUACCAU
Helianthus annuus (common sunflower) is the source of this 367-nucleotide long non-coding RNA. RefSeq lists it as uncharacterized. The record is from RefSeq and is a predicted model, not a curated record. NCBI's taxonomy places the organism in Eukaryota, Viridiplantae, Streptophyta, Magnoliopsida, Asterales, Asteraceae. The transcript has 3 exons.